CUUGAACAUGAAUAAUUUGUUCACUAUCAUGACUGCAGGUAUUAUCUGUCCUGGGCUUGACUUUUCAGCACUCUCAUUGAUGCAUUUUAAAGCUCACUUACAGAAGAGAACGCACAGAGAAUUGUGCCACAAGAUGGGGAGAGCACAGAGAAAAGGGACAAAUGCUUCAGAACAUUUCUCAAUUUCCCGCUCUUAGCACAGUGUUCACGUUAAAGGGGAGUGUCACCGGUGACCACUGUCAUUUACUACCUGUUACUUCACAAUCAAAUUAUAUUUACAAACUGUAGUCUUGAAAUUUAAAACGCUAUUGACAAAUCAUUUCCUCAGUUCUAGCCCCAAGAGCUUUCCUAUUUCAGAACAAUCUACAGAAUGACAUUAUUGUGAUCUUGUACCUAGGGCCACGAUUAUCUGUUGUGAAAUGCCAGAUUCUUCUUUUUAAAACCUAGACAAAAAUGGUGGAGUUAGAAAUGUGCCAGGGGAUUCCAAUACAACCCCACCAAGGUGGCAUGUACCAUUGCCAUCUCACUAGUCCAAGUGAUCAAUUUCAGUUCGCAAUUGAUCCUACUGAUAGGUCUAAGAGUCAAAGGGAUCACAUAAAGAAGACUAGUCUCUGCUAAUACUAACUGAUAGAAUUAAAAAAAAGAGAAUGAUCCAACAUGGGAAGUGGGAUACACAGCAGACUCAGAAUGGCAGAUGUCCUAAACAGCACUCUGGCCUCAGAAUCAGCCCUUAUGGCAUUAGGAUCUGGCUGAAGAGCCCAUGAGAGUAUUUUAGGCAUGGAAAGCCAAGACGCUCUGGGAAAAAAAAAAAAAAAAAAAAAAAAAAAAAAAAAAAAAAAAAAACACACAACAACAACAACAAAAAAAAACAAACAAAAACAAAACAAAACAAAAAAAAACAAACACUAAAUGAAAGAUCUCUGCGAGUGAGAUCCCAGUAGAAAGAACGGGCCAUCAAAGAAGGAGGUACCUUUCUCUGAAGGGAGGAGAGAACUUCCACUUUGACUAUGACCUUGUCUAAAUAAGAUCGAAGCCGGUGAACUCAAAAGGCUUCCAUAGCCUUGGCAACUCAUGACAAGAGCCUAGGGAGAUUACUGAUGCCAUAAACAAGAGUGUCAAUUUGUUAAGUCACUGUGUACUUACUCCUCAUGUAGGAUCUCUGUCCUUAAUGUGUUGUGCAAUGUGAACUAUUGCUAUAACUAGUACUUAAACAGUAUUUUACACUUUAUGUUCUGUGUGGGUGCAAACUGAUGAAAUCUUUACUUAAUAUAUACUAAAUAUAUACUAAAUUGAUCUUCUGUAUACAAAGAUAAUUGAAAAUGAAUCUUGAUGUGAAUGGAAUGGGAGAGGAAGUGGAAGAUGGGAGGGUUGUGGGUGGGAGGGAAGUUAUGGGUGGGAAAAGUCAUUGUAAUCCAUAAACUGUACUUUGGAAAUUUAUAUUUACUAAAUAAAAGUUUAAAAAAAACCUAGACA
Molecule: long non-coding RNA, 1472 nt
Filed under: Oryctolagus cuniculus (rabbit)
Lineage: Eukaryota; Metazoa; Chordata; Mammalia; Lagomorpha; Leporidae
Description: lncRNA (ENSOCUG00000031754.1)
Source: RNAcentral